UAAUGAUUUAAAUUAAAAGAAAAAAAAGAGUGAGUACGUAGUAGAGUUUUGGAUGGAGGGAAAAUUCCCACCUAAAAUGACCCUACUUUAUAGAAUGACCCAAUAAGGCCCACCAUAUAUAUAUGACCACUUGUUUGAUCUUGUUAACCUAAUUCAUCCACCUCAAACCGCCUUCAUCACUCCCAUUCAAUAUUCCACCCCUCUCUCUCUAGAACUAGUGACCCUCUUUGUAAAAGAAAGAAAAUUGACCUUCUUCUCCACUCAUUUCUCUGCAAAAAAAAAAUUAAGGUAUAUUUCAUCAGCUCUCAGCUCAUUUCGCCCAUAUCACGAUUCACGUCUCUUCUCCUCCACAUAAUCAAGUAAUGUAUGGUGGAUUUGAGGAGUCUAAUGAUGAGAGGUACACAUAUCUUGAAACAAUGGAAUCUCGAAAUCAAACAGUUCAGAUUCAACCUGCUACUGUGACGCCCCCAAUCAUACGAAUUGCACAAGGUAGUGGAUGUAUUUCUAAAGGUGGACGAAGAUCAGACGUUUGGAGACAUUUCACUCUUACUGAGAUACUUGAUGGUAAAACACCAGUUGAUAGCACUACUAAAAAAAAACCCACCACCUAUGCUACUUGUAAAUAUUGUGGAGUGGUUAUCAAAGCUAACUCAGUCAUGGGUACUUCAACAUGUAGACAUCAUCAUGAUAUAUGUAAGCUUAAACCUAAAGAAGGUUCUGCUUCUGAUAAUUCUAUCUCUUCUUUUGAUCAAAAACUUUGGUUAAGUAAGUUGGCUACAGCUAUUAUUUGUCAUGCAUAUCCUUUACGAAUUGUCGAGCAUGAAUUUUGUAGAGAAGAGAUUACCUACUUGAAUAGAAAUGUGAAACAUGUGAGUAGGAACAUUAUUCUUAGAUAUUGUAUUUGUGAGCAUGAUAAAUGCAAAGCUAUGUUGUUUGAUACUUUGAGUAAAAUUGGUGGUAAGGUCAGUUUUACUUGUGAUUUGUGGACUUCUUGCACUAAUCGCGGUUACCUUACUUUGACGGCUCAUUAUGUUGACAAUGAUUGAAAUCUGAAGUCUAAAGUUUUAAAUUUUAGAUAUUGCCAUCCUUCGCAUUCUGGUAUUGAAGUAGAAAAGUUUGUUUUUAAUCUGAUUAAAGAAUGGAACUUGCAAUAUAGAGCUUUCUCUAUGACUGUUGAUAAUGCUCGUUCUAUGGAUUUGAUGGUGGAUUAUCUUAGAAAAGAUGUCAUGAAUUGUUCCCCACUUCCUUGUGACGACAAAUUUUUCAUGUAUGUUGUAGUGCUCAUGUCUUGAAUUUGAUUGUUAGGAAAGGUUUAGAAUUUGUUGAUGAAAGUGUUGUUAAGUUGCGUGAAGUGGUCAAGUAUAUAGAUGGAUAUGAUUCUAGGUUGUGUCAGUUUGAGCAAGCUGUUGUUGAUACUGAAUGUGUGUUUAAUGGAAAAUUAAGUCUUGAUGUUGUUACUCGAUGGAAUGCCACCUAUACAAUGCUCCAAAAAUCUUUACAAACUAAACCUGCACUGAAAUCUUAUAUCAACAGAGUUUUGGGUAUUGAUUAUAAACUUUCUGAUGAUGAGUGGAUACUCUUCAAGAUGUGUGCGACUUUUUGCAUCCAUUUUAUAAUAUUACCACUUUAUUUUCUGGUUCUCAAUAUCCCACAUCAAACUUGUAUUUUGAGAAUGUUCUUUUCAUUGAGUAUUCUAUCACUCAAGCGCAUAAACAACCUAAGCUUGCCGAAAUGGCGUCAAUGAUGCUGGACAAAUUUGAGAAUUAUUGGGAAGAUUAUUCUUUGAUACUUUCAAUUGUUGAUGUUCUUGAUCCUCGUUUCAAAAUUCAAUGUGUGAGGCAAAUGUUGAACCUGCUAUAUGUUGGAGAGGAAUGUGAAAGAAAGGUUAAAAGGGUUCAAGAUGCUCUAGGUGAAUUGUGUUCUUUCUAUUCCGCUCAAGCGCCUCUUUCUAGCUCAAAGCAAAAGACUAGCAGACCCUAUAAUGAAUUUGAUGAUGGUAAAGACGAUGAUGGUCGAUCUUUUAAACUAUCAACUAUAUAUCAGAUGAUCUUGAUGCUUAUUUGGUUACACCUCGGAAAAAAUUGGUUGUGAAAGAAAAGUUUGAUGUUCUCCGGUACUGGAAAUCUGAAGUUGAGAGGUAUCCCACAUUAGCUGGAGUUGCUAGGGAUGUUUUGGCUAUUCUAUGAACAUAUGUUGCCUCUGAAUCAUCAUUUAGCAUGGGUGGUUGUAUUUUGACUAAGUAUAGGGGUGCUCUUCUUCCUAAAAACGUUAAGAUGUUAGUUACCACUCAGAACUGGUAUCUCGGUUAGUCGGUUAUGAUACCGAAAUUGAUGAAGAUGUAUUUUAAUCAGUAAGGAAGAAGUAACUGAAAGUUGUACAUCAUCUACUUGAGUUCUUUACAAGUAAAGGGGGCGCAAUCAAAUGUUCAUUGCUGCUACUUCAACAUGGCAUUAUGGUCACAUUUUGUAUUUAUUAAAAAGCCGUAUAUUUUAGGCUUAGGCUAUGUUCACCUUUUGUUGUUAAGCUCAAAAGUAUUAUAGAGAAUUUUGUAUGGUGACUAACUAAUUACUAAAUAGUAAAUAACUAAAAACUAAUUGAUCUUUGGUUUCUGUCUACCCUUACUGGUGGCUUUUGUAAUUGAUAUUGAGCUAUUUCCUCUAUGGUUGCAAUUUAAACUUAAUUUAUGCAUCAUAAAAGAUGCUUUUGGUUGUAUAUGUACUUGUAUGAAAUGAUCUGAUUUUCUCCUAGUUAUGAUAUAAGUGUUUUUUAGGUA
Chenopodium quinoa (quinoa) is the source of this 2773-nucleotide long non-coding RNA. RefSeq lists it as uncharacterized. NCBI's taxonomy places the organism in Eukaryota, Viridiplantae, Streptophyta, Magnoliopsida, Caryophyllales, Amaranthaceae. The transcript is spliced from 4 exons. The record is from RefSeq and is a predicted model, not a curated record.